Molecule: long non-coding RNA, 1210 nt
Organism: Apodemus sylvaticus (European woodmouse)
Lineage: Eukaryota; Metazoa; Chordata; Mammalia; Rodentia; Muridae
Exons: 2
Source: RefSeq, a predicted model, not a curated record
CGCGCGUUGAACAGGAAGUGCGCGGCGUGCGGCGCCACUGUCCCACUCCACGCCGCCCACGCUGCCCCCGGGUGGUCGCCGUGCGCUCUCGGUCUCAAGAUUCGUCAAAGAUUGCGCAACAAACCUUGAUCUUCAGCAAAGGCGCUCUCAUCUCAGUAAAUGCUGAAGUCCUAAGACCACAGGAGGAAAUGGGUGCAUCGGAGCCUGAAACCAGGGCGAACAUGCCACGUGCUUCCCCCGAUCUUCAGAGACACUGGCUGCUGGUCUGGUACUGCGGGCUGCUCAGGGCUCUGGUGUUCCUCGCAGCAGCACGACCUUGGCUUCUGGUCUGAGUGGGGGCGGGGGGGGGGGUGCCUCCUCUCCUGCUCAGAAUUGAAGACCAGAUGACCCCAAAGAUUACCCCAUCAGCCCACCUGCUCCCUGUCAACACUAAUAUACGGACACUACCUGUAGAAUAAACAUGUUAGGGGUCCCUUUGACGAAGACAUGAUGGUCAAGGGGGUAAGGAGGUGGCCCUGCCCCUCUUCCUGCUCCCCCACCGUAGAGGAUGUGGUUACCACUUUACAACCAUGAUUUAGGGAAGGACCUGUUUGUGCCAUGAGAGACAACCUGGGUUCAGCUGUCUCCUGGGUUUCCACGUUACCAGCCUAGUUCCUGCAAAUUAGGUAAAACCCUACAGCUGGGGUGGGGUGGGGGUUCCUUGGUUCAUCAGGUAGGUUCGUAUACAUCCUGCUACCACACUUUCAAACCGAGAAUGAAGUACACCUCCUCCCCAGAGCCCCCGGCCAGUGUCCCUAAGCAGCUCCUGAAGGGUCUUCUGAAGGAUCCACUCAAGCAGUUGUCCUACCCGGCCUCAACACCCUCCUCCCCAACCUGGCUCCUCACUAAAGGACUCCCGGGACCCCAAAAGACAUCAUUCUACUGAGGGUUCAGAUUGCUUCUUAGAAGCAGAAGUGAGGCCGGGCAGUGGUGGCGCACACCUGUAAUCCCAGCACUCUGGGAGGCAGAGGCAGGCAGAUUUCUGAGUUCAAGGCCAGCCUGGUCUACAAAGUGAGUUCCAGGACAGCCAGGGCUACACAGAGAAAUCCUGUAUAGAAAAAAACAAAAAAGAAGCAGAAGUGGGAGGUUUGGAGGGACACAAUAUCAGUGGCUAAGAAGGCCACCCUCAGCCACUAAAAUAAUAAUAAAACAAUCACUCUAGGACUGUCAA